AAGUACGCUCGCGCUAACCGCAAGGAGGCAGGCGCCCUACGGAUGCCUGUGAUUGGGGUG
This 60-nucleotide ribosomal RNA is filed under the name uncultured bacterium. Its description in RNAcentral is "partial 16S ribosomal RNA". The record is from RNAcentral.